UACAGAGGGUGCGAGCGUUAAUCGGAAUUACUGGGCGUAAAGCGUGCGUAGACGGUCAUGUAAGUCGGAUGUGAAAGCCCCGGGCUCAACCUGGGAAUUGCAUUCGAGACUGCAUGGCUUGGGUGCGGAAGAGGGAAGCGGAAUUUCCGGUGUAGCGGCGAAAUGCGUAGAUAUCGGAAGGAACACCAGUGGCGAAAGCGGCUUCCUGGUCCGACACCGACGUUCAGGCACGAAAGCGUGGGGAGCAAACAGG
RNAcentral lists this ribosomal RNA (253 nucleotides) under uncultured bacterium. Its description in RNAcentral is "partial 16S ribosomal RNA". It matches the Rfam family "Bacterial small subunit ribosomal RNA", at positions 524 to 776 of the family's 1533-position model. The record is from RNAcentral.